AUCCUGCCAAAGCAAAAGGCUGAGGGCAACUUUAGCGAAAAGAAGGGGCUGAGGGCAACUUUAGCGAAAAGAAGGGGCUGAGGGCAUCUUCGGCAGUUUAGGAAGAAUAUCAGUUCAGAGAAAUAUCCCCCCUUUGAGAAUCGUUAUUUUAACCAUAAGAUGGAGCUCAUCUCUUUACGCUUCUCGCCAUUUAUAACAACAACCGGAAUGUUGAAAUCUAGAGAUUGCAAUGCGUUAUCUACACGCAUUUAUCCUCUUGGUUCUACCAAGUCAAAAGAAUCUGCUAGCAGAGGAUUCAGAGUAACUUCUGCACUUGCAGAAACAGCAGUGUCUAUUGCAGUUGCUGCCACAGUUGUGGGUGCUGCCGCAACUAUUCUUGUAAGGAGAACUAAAGCUUCGGAAGCAAUUGAGGCCCCGCCGAAAAUCUGUGAAGACUGCGGUGGCUCUGGAAUUUGUGCAGAAUGCAGAGGGGAAGGAUUUGUGCUAAAAAGGAUGUCCGAUGAAAAUUCUGAGAGAGCAAGACUGAUGGCAAAGAAUGCAGCUACAAGAUAUACAGCAGGGCUUCCCAAAAAAUGGAGCUACUGUAUGAAAUGCAACGCGGCUCGCUCCUGUAAUUCAUGUGGCGGCAGUGGGAAGUUGAACUAAUUGUUAAAUUGCCUUGUGAUAUACAAUAUCAUUCAAUUGUGUCAAUAUAGUGCUCCUCUUUCAAUGAGGAUAUUAGCGACUGGGAUCAAUCAGCUAAUCCGGUACCGAGUCAGCAUUUUCCUUUCCAAAUUCAUUACUGGGACAUGAAGGAGCUAGAUUUGGAGUACAAAUCAAGAUUGCAUCAAUUGUAAUGUAGUCUCUCGACUGUGUCGCAAUCUGACCUAUUUUACUAGUAAUAUCCGAAAUUGAUCAACACCCUACUACUCUCCAUUCCGUUAAUUAACCGUGUGAACUUGGGUACAUAGGCUUUACUUCCACGAACAAUUUCCAGUUCAAUCAGAUUUGAAGUCUAUAGUAGAUUAACUUUGAGGGCUAAAACGGGUACACACUCGAAUUAAGCUUUGAUGUAGCUUUGACUUGAAAGAUGAAAAAGAAAUGGAAAUAUUCAUGCUUUGGCCUCCACAUCUGUGCUCAUGUAGUUUACCCUGCACCUGUGUUUCAAAAAAAAAAAAUAGAUAUUAGUUGAUGUGUAAUUACUUAAUAUAGCUUAGUUUUGUUUGGUAUUGGUUAGGACAGCUACUGUAUAAUUUGAUUUACUUUGGACUGUUAACGGACUAUCUAGUUGCUG
Molecule: non-coding RNA, 1273 nt
Organism: Nicotiana tabacum (common tobacco)
Lineage: Eukaryota; Viridiplantae; Streptophyta; Magnoliopsida; Solanales; Solanaceae
Source: RefSeq, a predicted model, not a curated record